Molecule: unclassified non-coding RNA, 388 nt
Filed under: Bombus terrestris (buff-tailed bumblebee)
Lineage: Eukaryota; Metazoa; Arthropoda; Insecta; Hymenoptera; Apidae
Description: misc RNA ENSBTSG00005029884.1
Source: RNAcentral
CCGUUGAAUUGGGAUGUAUGGGAAUCUGAUGAAACCCGCUGGCCAUAUCCAGGCUAAUGAAGUAUUUCGCGUUCUGCAAUCUCGCGAUUUGAUCUGCGAUAAGGGGCAGGGGAUACCGAUCCGCGACCGUAUUUUUAUUUAACUCUCGAAAGUCUACACACAAUCUAUCUGAGCCGUCCUUCUUCUUCACGAGUAACAUAGGGCUCGCGUACGAUGAAUUGCUAGGCCUUACAAUGUUGGCUUUAAUUAGUUCGCCUAUAAUCUCACGUACUAUUCUUCACUCUUCUUCACUAAGUCUGUAAGGGCUUCUCUGUACGGUGACGUUAGGAUCAAUUAACCGUAUUUCCAACUUGCCCGUACUUACGCGAGUGCGUGGAAAACCCGUAAU